GGGGGGUAAGAUGUACGCAGUCCAUACCUCUACCUCUGAUGAAGUAGAAAGGCUGUUUCCGAUAGACCCCCGGCUCAAGACACGAGAUACCACACAAACACAUAGUAAAGCACAGAAGCAGAUUACAUAACAUAAAUACAGCACCCAUAAGUAAUAUAAAACAGAGGAAAGCAGAGGAAAGCACACAGAUUCGUAAUAAAACAUGGAACACGGAACACGGAAUCAUAACAGGAAUAAAACCCCCACCAAGUAAUCCCUACACUAGGUCAUGUCCUCGGUGAGCUGUAACUGUUCCAUGUCCCGCCUAAUCACCUCACCCCAGUACUUCUUCGGUCUACCCCUACCCCGUCUAAAACCAUCCAACGCUCGCCUCUCACACCUACGGACCGGGGCAUCACUACCCCUCCUCUUCACGUGACCGAACCAUCUCAAGCGUGCUUCCCACAUCUUGCACUCCACUGAAGUCACACCAACCUUCUCCCGGAUAGUCUCAUUCCGGACUCUAUCCCCUCUAGUCAGUCCACACAUCCAGCGCAACAUCCGCAUUUCUGCCACCUUCAUUUUUUGGAUGUGGGAGUUCUUAACUGGCCAACACUCCGCUCCAUACAGCAAGGCCGGACGGACUACCACCCUAUAGAAUUUGCCUUUAAGCUUGGGCGGCACCUUCUUAUCACACAGCACCCCCGAUGCGAGUUUCCACUUCAUCCAUCCCGCCCCAAUACGGUGCGAGACAUCCUCGUCAAUCUCACCGUUACUCUGGAUCACGGACCCGAGAUACUUGAACUUAUCCCUCUUCCCUACCUCCUGUGCUUCUAGCCUCACUACUACCUCAUUCUCCCGCCUCACGUCAUUAAACUUACAUUCCACAUACUCUGUCUUGGUUCUGCUCACCCUGAACCCUUUAGACUCCAGAGUUUGCCUCCACAACUCUAAUUUGUCAUUCACACCCCCUCGAGUCUCAUCUAUCAGGACUACAUCGUCUGCAAAAAGCAUACACCACGGCACCUCCCCUUGGAUACGCCGCGUCAACACAUCCAUUACUAACGCAAACAAAAAGGGACUAAGAGUAGAUCCCUGAUGCAAUCCUGUCAGGACAGUGAAAUGCUCUGAGUCUCCUCCCGCCGUCCUCACCUGGGUUUUCGCUCCCUCAUACAUAUCCUUAAUUACUCUGAUAUAUGCCUGCGGUACUCCACUCACCUCCAAGCAUCUCCAAAGCACUUCCCUGGGGACUUUGUCGUACGCCUUUUCCAGGUCGAUGAACACCAUGUGCAGAUCCUUCUUCCUCUCCCUAUACUGCUCCACCAACCUCCGUACCAGGUGGAUUGCCUCCGUCGUCGAGCGGCCGGGCAUAAAUCCGAACUGGUUUUCCGAAAUAGACACUAUCCGUCUCAGCCUCACCUCGACCACUCUCUCCCAUAUCUUCAUAGAGUGACUCAGUAACUUAAUCCCCCUAUAGUUAUUGCAACACUGAAUGUCCCCCUUAUUCUUAUAGAGGGGGAUCAUGGUACUCCACCUCCACGCCUCGGGCAUCUUUGCCGUCCUGAAAAUUUCAUUGAACAAUGCAGUCAACCACCUUACACCAGCCUCUCCAACGAACUUCCAAAACUCCACCGGUAUCUCAUCCGGCCCCGUCGCCCUACCCCUUCGCAUCCUGCGGACUGCCUGUCUAACCUCGUCUACCUUAAAACGUCUACAAUAGCUAAAAUCCCGACACUCCCCUGAGUGCUCCAGUUCCCCUAACACAAUAGCUCUGUCCCCCUCGUCAUUCAAGAGCCUAUGAAAGUACGACUGCCAUCUCUUCUUUAUGUGGCCGUCCUCCACCAACACUCUACCGUCCUCCCCCUUAAUGCACCGCACCUGAUCGAGGUCACGACCCUUCCUCUCCCUAGCCUUAGCGAGUCGGAACAACUUUUUCUCCCCUCCUUUCCCCUGUAACCCUGCAUACAAGCUCUCAAAAGCAGCCGUCUUAGCUGCCGUGACCGCUGACUUCGCCUCCUUCCUCGCUAGCUUGUACUCUUUCCUGUUUACCCGCUUCUCCUCUUCGUCCUUACUUUCCACCAACUUAGCAUACGACUCUUUCUUGGUCUCCACUUUCUUCCCCACCUCUUCAUUCCACCACCAAUCCCCCCGAUGAUGUCCGGCCCGGCCCCUAGAAACACCCAACACCUCCCUUGCAUUUUCCCUGAUGCACGCUGCCGCCCUGUCCCACAUAUUAUCCACGUCCCCCCUACACUCCCACACCCCCAUUCCCGCCAACCUCUCCCCUAUCUCCCACGCAUUCACUGGCGUCAAACCGCCCCACUUAAUUCUCGGUCUACACUCCUUACUCCUCCUCUUUUUAUUCUUCUUCAUACCCAAAUCCAUAACCAAGAGCCUAUGUUGGGUCGAAAGGUUCUCACUCGGGAUGACAGCAGCAGACUUUUGUAUUUUAUAUUCUUUAUGAUAUGAAAAAACUGUAUAUAUUAAUAUUAAUUAAACGCAAGUUGCCCUAACAUUGAAAAAAGGAAAAAGUACUCUUAAUUAUAGUUAACUUUUUAUUUUUAGAAUACCUUUAUAACUCUAUAUUUAUAAUAUUUGAUUUUUUUUAGCUGAAUCCCCGCACCCGUAUCCAUACUCGAAUUUGCACCCCCGAAUCUUAAAAUUUAUAUUUUAAAGAAUCCGACUCUCGGAUCCGCACCCGUCUUGGAUACCCGCACCCGAGUCCGAGCAACUUAGAUGAAAUAUGCCAAUUUAUCCUAAAAUACCAUGCAUGAAUGCCAUGAAUUAUGCAUGAAUCACAUACAUUGUAAAGAAAUUUCUGUCAAUUAGCCUCAUUUUCAUCAACUCCAUGCGAGUUAAUCAUACUUUAUGUCAAUAACCAGCCAAACCAAAUCAAGAAAUCUUCGACUAAAGUCAAAUUAUGAUUCUUAUUCACAUAUAUCGUCAGGCAAGGUCAAUAAGCAUUAAACACAUACAACAGCUAAAAAAUCAAUUUAUUAUCCGUACAUAGCACCCGGUACUUGCAUAUAUGCUCGUCACCCAACUAUAUGUUACCCCCAUUAAAAAAUAUUAGCGUUGAACCAGGCCAGUUCAGGAAACAGGUUAAGGAGUGACGUGACUUCACCGGUUAGGGCUAGUCCCAAGCCAUCGGUUGGAUAAUUGGACCCGUGCAGGAUUGGUCUGUUAAGGUGUCCCAACCUAGCCCUCUCCCCUUUACUUGGACCGGUGUGGAUGGAAACUCAUUCAUUCCGGUCCGGUUCUUGGUUGCCUUGGACCGUUAGAGAGGUUUAAUUUCUACCUAUGUGUCCAGGCCUCGGUGAAUAGAGUUAUUUGGUACCUGUGUUGGUGGAAGGUAGCAGAUACUGUAUGAAAUUAAUUGAGGUGCACAAACUGGCCCGGGCACCAUUGUUAUAAAAAAAUGUCUUUAACUAAAUGGUACUUGUCAGCCAAAAAACAAAAGGAACGUCUGUAAUUGACUGGUUAUCGAAUGUGAAUGUUGAUUCUUGUAUUUAAAAUAACCAUGAUUGUUCUCGUGGUUGGCAAUCUCUAGUAUUAAGCAGACAUCAUCUUUUUCUUGCCCUUUAUGUUCUUUGUUAAAUCAUGUUGGCCUCCCAGAAGCUAUCCUGCUUGCCUUUAAUUUUAUGAACUCGGCCCAUUUCUUCUAUGAAACACGACUACUUGGAAAGUUUCAUGAUCUCUGUCUACAGGUGAUUAAGGCUUAUGCUUUCAACAAGGCAUGGAUCUUUGGCUUGCUUAUGGAUUUGUUUGGAGCAGUCUUGAUGUUGCGAGCACUAUCUCUAGCCCCAGUAAGUGCAUUUCCAGCAAGCUCUCUCUUAUGCAUGUUUAGGGAAUUGAACUUGAUACUUUGAAAGUAAAUCCAUUAUUAGAGAAAACCCUAAACAUGAUGUUUCUUUCUUAUAUUGAUAGCUAGACAAAUCCUUCACACUUACCAUUUCAAUGAUAUACUCCAGGUAUCAGUCAUUCAACCAGUUUCUGGCUGUGGACUUGCUAUACUUUCGGUCUUUUCCCAUUUUUAUCUAAAGGAGAUCAUGAAUGUUAUUGAUUGGAUAGGAAUUACCUUGGCGGGCAUUGGCACCAUAGGUAAUGUAAGUUCCUUAACACUGCAUUCAUUAAAAGAACUAAUAAGGCUAUGGAAAACAAAGAAACAGUUCAUUUUCCUCUGUAUUGCUAAGCAUGAGUUACUGGAUAGAUGGUCCCAUGCAUACAGGGGGAAAGUCAUCUAUUUACAGUGACUACUUGAACUAGUCAUUUUUCCACGGGAUGAAUUAGUUGACAAGAUGAGCGUGCUGCCUCACACCAGGUUUUGUACAUCUGGUCCAUCAGGUUAUCCUGGUUGAAGUUGGAUUGUUGUUUUGUUAGAGGAUAUUUCUCUUGAUAUUUGGCAUUUAAUCAACCUGUUCUUCUAGUAUUAAUAUUCAGAAAAUUUUGUAACUUUUGAUUCUUCUGUUUUCUCAUUUAGAUCUGAUUUGAUAUGCGUUACUUGAGCUGAGGGUAUUUCGGAAACAAUCUCUCUACCUCCAUGAGGUACGGGUAAGGUCUGCUUACAUGCUACCCUCCCCGGACCCCAUCUGUGGGGAUUACCUGGGUAUGUUGUUGUUGGUUGCUUCUGAUUAAUCUACCUUCCUUCAGUUCAAGCACCGAUGCAGUUAAUCUGUUUUAUUUUUGGUUAACUUAUAAUUUAACUUGGGAACCUCAUAGAAAAGUAAAGAGACUGAAACCUGAUCAAAUGGAAGGUGAGGCAAUUACCUGUACGGUCUUACAAAAUUUGGCUUGGUUCAAAAUUGGUUUGUAUUAUUGUUCUGCGAGGUCUUCAUGUCUUAUUGGUUGUGAAAAAAUCAUCCGUUUGUUACUCUUUCAAUUCCUUAUGAUGCUUUGGCUGACGUGUAAUAUAUCAUCUUCUUAGUUGAACCAGUGGCCAAUGUCUAUAUAUACAUAGGUUUAUUCCAAUGUCCUGGAAUUGAGUAAUCAAUAUAAUGCUCUUUUGUGGGAUGUGAAAAAUGAAGCUCUGGCUCUCUAUAUGAGGCUAGAUGAAAGAAAGAAAAGUAAGAAGUUACAAGGGGAAAGUAAUGAAGAUGUGGAAGAAGUUAGAAACAGGGGGGAAGAUCUUCUGUCAACUUAUCAAUGAAUGUAAAAUUAAUAUCAUGAAAUAUCUGGGGACUUAGCAUGAUUUCUAAAAGGAAUCUCGUUAAGAGUCUAAUUGAGAAAUGGAGAGCAAACUUCUAUUGUUUCCUGGAAACAAAAUUAGAAAAGGACGUGGAUAAUGGAUAUUAUGGCCAAGCAACAAUGGGCAUGUAGAUGAUGAGAUGGGUAUAUGUUGAAGCUGAGGGUGGCAGUAGUGCGAUUCUAAUGUUAUGAGACAGUAGCAUGUGAAAGGCGAACGGAUUGCAAGUGACUGUUAUAUUCGAUCACCUAUAGUUUUGAAUCUGUGCAACAAUCUUUUAAGUGGUGUCUAAUGGAAGUGUAUGGACCACAUACCAGAAGGGAAAGGAAAUUAUGCUGGGAGGAGAUUUCAUCAUUCAGGUAUUUAUGCGAGUGUCCAUGGGUAUUCUGUGGUGAUUUCUACACUAGCGGGUUUUUGUAUGAAAGAAGGAAAUGUAUCACUAAUGCAAUGGUUGACUUCUUAGACUGGAUAGAAGACAUGGAGCUCUUCAAUCCACCAUUGUAUAAGGGCAGAUUUACCUGGUUAAGAGGGAUUAGUCACUACAGUGCAGCUAGGCUUGACAAAUUCUUAUUCAGUGGAAUGGAAGGAAACUUCUAGGAGCAUAAAACAAAGGAUAUUGCCCGGGUGAAUUUCAGAUCACAGCCCACUUCUUUUUUGAGUGGGGAAACUGGUAGCAAAAUAGAGCUUCUUUUGAAUUUGAAUAUUGGUGGUUAGGGGUGGAGGGAUUUAAUGAUCAGCUUUUGAGGUCUCUCUGGAAGGAUAAGAUAAUCAAUGAGUUGAAGUUUGAUGAAAGAAAAAAUCAUGUUAUAAAUUCAUUAUAUUUGUGUAGAGGACUUUAGUAAAUGUAAUAAAGAACAUACUAAAAUAAUUAAAAAGUAAGCAACAACAGCAACAUUCCUAGUAUGGUGCCACAAGUGGGGUCUAGGGAGGGUGAGGUGUAUCCAAACCUUACCCCUACCUUAGUGGGUAGAAAGACCAUUGCCGAUAAUCCUCGACUCGAGGAAAUCUUAUUACGGAACAGGUUUGAAAAGAAUGCAAGAUUAAGAAAGCUAUAAUGAAGACACUGAAGAAAUAAACAUAUGGACCACAAAAUAUUAAAGAUAAAAUAACUAAAGUAAACGAAACAAUAGAAGUAAUAAAUUCGAAGAUAAGAUACAACAACAACAACAAACCCAGUGUAUUCCCACCUAGUGGGGUCUGGGGGGGUAAGAUGUACGCAGUCCAUACCUCUACCUCUAAAGAAGUAGAAAGGCUGUUUCCAAUAGACCCCUGGCUCAAGGCAUGAGAUACCACACAAACACAUAGUAAAGCACAGAAGCAGAUUACAUAACAUAAAUACGGCACCCAUAAGUAAUACAAAACAGAGGAAAGCAGAGGAAAGCACACAGAUUCGUAAUAAAACAUGGAACACGGAACACGGAAUCAUAACAGGAAUAAAACCCCCACCAAGUA
Molecule: long non-coding RNA, 6613 nt
Filed under: Capsicum annuum
Lineage: Eukaryota; Viridiplantae; Streptophyta; Magnoliopsida; Solanales; Solanaceae
Description: long non-coding RNA (CANN_LNC009953)
Source: RNAcentral